This 292-nucleotide ribosomal RNA is filed under the name uncultured bacterium. Its description in RNAcentral is "partial 16S ribosomal RNA". It matches the Rfam family "Bacterial small subunit ribosomal RNA", at positions 505 to 796 of the family's 1533-position model. The record is from RNAcentral.
GUGCCAGCCGCCGCGGUAAUACGUAGGGGGCAAGCGUUGUCCGGAAUUAUUGGGCGUAAAGAGCGUGUAGGCGGAUAUUUAAGUCAGAUGUGAAAACUGGCGGCUCAACCGUGAGACUGCAUCUGAUACUGGAUAUCUUGAGGGUAAGAGAGGGCAGUGGAAUUCCUAGUGUAGCGGUGAAAUGCGUAGAUAUUAGGAGGAACACCAGUGGCGAAGGCGACUGCCUGGCUUACAACUGACGCUGAGACGCGAAAGCGUGGGGAGCAAACAGGAUUAGAAACCCGCGUAGUCC